GCCCGCCUAGCUCAAUCGGCAGAGCACUUCACUUGUAAUGAAGAGGUUUCCGGUUCGAUUCCGGAGGCGGGCU
RNAcentral lists this transfer RNA (73 nucleotides) under Actinomycetota bacterium. RNAcentral describes it as "tRNA-Thr". It matches the Rfam family "tRNA". Rfam says of the family: Transfer RNA (tRNA) molecules are approximately 80 nucleotides in length. Their secondary structure includes four short double-helical elements and three loops (D, anti-codon, and T loops). Lineage: Bacteria; Bacillati; Actinomycetota. The record is from RNAcentral.